GACGGAUCCCAUAGACCUUAACAGUCAUUGGAGACCUUUAGAUUUGAUUCUCAGUAGGAUGGAAAUCACUAGAGGGUUUUGAACAGGGAAGUAAUAUGAUCUCACUGUUUUAAAGAAUGCUUUCUGGCUGCUGAGGGGAGAGACUCACAAGAGAAAGAGGAGAAGCAGGAGGGAGGCCAAUAACCCAGGGUCAUUUGAGUUUUCUGAAAUUUACAUCUGAAAAAAUCCUAACUGAUAGAGAUAUCGGUACCAGGAAGUCAGGUCAGAGACUUGGGAGGUGCCUCUGUGAAAAAUAGUAUUCAAUGGGGAGACGAGGAGGCUGACAGAAAACAAGAGAGAAGUGGAGCAACCAGAACCUGCAAAAAAGAAGGAUGCUGAGAUUUGCUAAAAGGGAGAAAUACGGUGCUUACAGAUCUCUGCCUGAAUAUCUCCAGAGCUCUGCUCUUCAACUUUGUUGGAUAAAUUUUGGUGACUAUUCGACAGGCUGACUGUUGGGAACUACCAGACAACCUUGCAGAGACCUUCGACCUCCCACAAUCUCCCUGCCCACCAGGGAAGACCUCUCUUUACCUGGUCCUUUGUCUUCCCUUCUCGCUCACGAAUGUGGUUAGCAACAAUCCUUUCCGUUUCCUCGCAGAGUCUGGGGAAGUUUGCCAGCUGUCAAGAAAAGCAGAUCUGAGUAUUAAUACUCAAAAAGUUACACUACCAAAAAAGAAGCAGAGAUAAAUUAUGUUAUUUUACAGAAGAUAUUCAUUGCCAUUCUGGAAGCAAAAAUGAAAUAUCAUCAACUCCUAAAGAAGGAUGUCAAGGUGAUGGGAGAGGCUUCACAAACUAUCAUCAGAAGUAACCUUGUUAUGUUGAGGAAACACUUCAAAACCAGCAGAGCAAUUCCUUAGGAAGAAAGCAGAACCCUAGAUACCAUCUAGCACUGUGCUCCUGCUGAGUUGGCACUUAAUAAAAUUCAAAGAUGAAGAAGUCGGAAAACAGGACAAAGAAAAGGAUAAUGACUAACAUUUUAUAUAGUGUCUACCACGUGUCAGGCGCUAAGAACUUCAUGAAUUACCUCUUUCACUAUUCACAGCAAUCAGAAAAGACAGAUAUAAUUAUUAACCUCAUUUCUUUUUUAUUUUAUUUAUUUAUUUAUUUUGAGACAGAGUUUUGCUCUUGUCACCCAGGCUGGAGUGCAAUGGCGCAAUCUCAGCUCACUGCAACCUCUGCCUCCUGGGUUCAAGCGAUUCUCCUGUCUCAGCCUCCCGAGUAGCUGGGAUUACAGGCACGUGCCACCAAGCUCAGCUAAUUUUUGUAUUUUUAGUAAAGACAGGGUUUCACCAUGUUGGCCAGGCUGGUCUCUAACUUCUGACCUCAGGUGAUCCACCUGCCUUGGUCUCCCAAAGUGCUGGGAUUACAGGCGUGAGCCACCACGCCCGGCCAACCCCAUUUAAUAGAGGAGAAAAGUGAAGCACAGAGAGGUUAAGUAACUCAUGCCCAUGACUAAACAGCUCAAAAAUGGUUGGUUCAGGAUUCCAACCUAAGUCCUAGGACUCCAGAGCCCAUGGUCUUGUCCAUUACUCUUCGAGCAUGAUUCAUCCCAUGAAGCACAAAGAGACUCCUUUAACUUUUUAAAUUCUCCCCCACAGAAAAUAUAUGUGUAUAUGUACAUUUUUUUUGCAAAACUAUGGAAAUUGUGUAUGUCAAUCACUUAACCCCAUCUAAAUUAUGCAGGUAAUUGUUCAAAACAUAGUUUGCAAAAGUGAAUACCUUAAUUCAGUUGUUUUCAAUAUAAGGAAGAAAGAGAAUGGGAUGCUAUGAAAAUGUUUAAGGAGCCCUAAUCCAGAAGGAAGACUUAGACAGGCAAAGGUGUGUGAGAAUGGCCGUGGAGAAGAUGAAGCUUGCCAGGAACAGGAACAUGUGUGAAGGCAUGGUGGAAGUGGGGGCAAUUAGUGGCGAUAAAAGUAAAAGAAAGUCCGUGCAGAAACUGAGGAGUAUGAUCCUCAGACAAAGCUAGAAAAGUAGAGAGGGGCCACAUCAAGCAGAUCCUUGCAAUUCUAUCAGGAAUUUAGGCUACUGAAGCAAUUCAGAUGGAAUGGAAAUAAUGGUGGCUUCUACUGGGAUGACAGCAAUGGAAAUGGAGAAAAGUGGGCACAUUCAUGACUUAGGCCAGGCAAAAUAUUAAUUCCAAUGAUGAUUUUUAAAGUGCUUGCAAAUUAAUAAGAUUAACAGAUAGCUCAAUAAAAUAGGCAAAGAAUAUGAUUUAAUUUGUAAAAGACUUAAUAGUCAAUAAGCAGAAGGAAAAACAAACUGUACAAGUGAUCUAAUGCAAAGAAAAGAAAUAACUAUUAUAUUGGCAAAUUGCUAUUUUUUUAUAAGACUUACUACAGGUGAGGGUAUACUGAGAUUAGCACAAUUUAAACUUGCUGAGGGGUGUCAAGAAGAGAAAUCUUUCUGGAAAGCAAUUUGACAUUAUGUAUCAAAAGUCUUGCACGCGCGCACACACACACAAACACACACACACACACACACACAAACACAGAGACAGAGAGAGAGAUCUCAACCUAAUAACCUCACAGAAUUCUGAACUACAAUGAUAAGGACAUUCAUCACAGCAUUAGUUGGAAAAGCAACAAUAAGAUAAACAAACUAUAAACUACCUAGUAUCUGAUGAUGUUAAAUAAAUGAAGGUAGAUCCACUUACGUGAUGUAAUGUAGCCAUUUUGAAUAACAGUUUUAAUAAUAACUAAUGACAUGGUAAAGUAUUUACAACACUAUUUGAAGAAAAUUAGGCUACUAAAUAUAUAAUGUGGUUAUGCACAAGCAUAAUGUUUUGGUUUGGAUAUUUCUUUCCUCCAAAUUCAUGUUAAAAUUCAAUCCCCAAUGUGGCUAUAUUGACAAGUGGGGCUUUUAAGAGGUGAUUGGGCCAUGAAGGCUCUGCCAUCAUGAGUGGAUUAAUCCAUUCAUGGACUAAUGGAUUAAUAGGUUAUGGGAGUGGGACUGGUAGCUUUAUAAGAAGAGGACUAGCGACCUGAGCUAGCAUGCUACCACACUCAGCACCCUUACAAUAUGAUUGAUACCCUGCACCAGCAAGAAGGCCCUUACCAGAGGCAGACCCUCAACACUGGGUCUUCCAUAACUG
RNAcentral lists this long non-coding RNA (3130 nucleotides) under Homo sapiens (human). Its description in RNAcentral is "HSALNT0017510". The record is from RNAcentral. Lineage: Eukaryota; Metazoa; Chordata; Mammalia; Primates; Hominidae.